Molecule: ribosomal RNA, 254 nt
Filed under: uncultured bacterium
Lineage: Bacteria
Description: partial 16S ribosomal RNA
Rfam family: Bacterial small subunit ribosomal RNA
Source: RNAcentral
UACGUAGGGUGCGAGCGUUGUCCGGAAUUAUUGGGCGUAAAGAGCUCGUAGGCGGCUCGGUAAGUCGGAUGUGAAACCUCCAGGCUCAACCUGGAGACGCCAUCUGAUACUGCCGUGGCUUGAGUCCGGUAGAGGAGCAGGGAAUUCCUGGUGUAGCGGUGAAAUGCGCAGAUAUCAGGAGGAACACCGGUGGCGAAGGCGGAUCUCUGGGCCUUACCUGACGCUCAGGUGCGAAAGCUAGGGGAGCGAACAGG